Molecule: ribosomal RNA, 462 nt
Filed under: uncultured bacterium
Lineage: Bacteria
Description: partial 16S ribosomal RNA
Rfam family: Bacterial small subunit ribosomal RNA
Source: RNAcentral
ACGAACGCUGGCGGCGUGCUUCACGCCUGCAAGUCGAACGGAAAGGCCUUUUCGGAGGUACUCGAGUGGCGAACGGGUGAGUAACACGUGGGUGAUCUGCCCUGCACUCUGGGGUAAGCCUGGGCAACUGGGUCUAAUACCGGAUAGGACCGCACUUUAGUGUGUGUGGUGGAAAGUUGUUUCGGUGUAGGAUGAGCCCGCGGCCUAUCAGCUUGUUGGUGGGGUAAUGGCCUACCAAGGCGGCGACGGGUAGCCGGACUGAGAGGUUGGUCGGCCACAUUGGGACUGAGAUACGGCCCAGGCUCCUACGGGAGGCAGCAGUGGGGAAUAUUGCACAAUGGGCGCAAGCCUGAUGCAGCGACGCCGCGUGGGGGAUGACGGCCUUCGGGUUGUAAACUCCUUUCGCCAGGGACGAAGCGUUUUGUGACGGUACCUGGAGAAGAAGCACCGGCUAACUACGUG